Molecule: non-coding RNA, 88 nt
Organism: [Clostridium] clostridioforme 90A8
Lineage: Bacteria; Bacillati; Bacillota; Clostridia; Lachnospirales; Lachnospiraceae
Source: Rfam
GCAGACGGUUGAUUCGUCCCGGUGCAGGAAACGCGUGGACAUAAGGAAACGGAACCAAGCAGGAAAUACCUGGUCGGGAUGGCGGAGC